Molecule: ribosomal RNA, 914 nt
Filed under: uncultured bacterium
Lineage: Bacteria
Description: bacterial SSU rRNA
Rfam family: Bacterial small subunit ribosomal RNA
Source: RNAcentral
AGAGUUUGAUCCUGGCUCAGAUUGAACGCUGGCGGCAGGCUUAACACAUGCAAGUCGAGCGGGGUGAUGUGCUUCGGUACUGAUCCUAGCGGCGGACGGGUGAGUAAUGCUUAGGAAUCUGCCUAUUAGUGGGGGACAACAUUCCGAAAGGAAUGCUAAUACCGCAUACGCCCUACGGGGGAAAGCAGGGGAUCUUCGGACCUUGCGCUAAUAGAUGAGCCUAAGUCGGAUUAGCUAGUUGGUGGGGUAAAGGCCUACCAAGGCGACGAUCUGUAGCGGGUCUGAGAGGAUGAUCCGCCACACUGGGACUGAGACACGGCCCAGACUCCUACGGGAGGCAGCAGUGGGGAAUAUUGGACAAUGGGCGGAAGCCUGAUCCAGCCAUGCCGCGUGUGUGAAGAAGGCCUUUUGGUUGUAAAGCACUUUAAGCGGGGAGGAGGCUCUUGAGGAUAAUACCCUUGAAGAGUGGACGUUACCCGCAGAAUAAGCACCGGCUAACUCUGUGCCAGCAGCCGCGGUAAUACAGAGGGUGCGAGCGUUAAUCGGAUUUACUGGGCGUAAAGCGUGCGUAGGCGGCUGAAUAAGUCGGAUGUGAAAUCCCCGAGCUUAACUUGGGAAUUGCAUACGAUACUGUUUGGCUAGAGUAUGGGAGAGGAUGGUAGAAUUCCAGGUGUAGCGGUGAAAUGCGUAGAGAUCUGGAGGAAUACCGAUGGCGAAGGCAGCCAUCUGGCCUAAUACUGACGCUGAGGUACGAAAGCAUGGGGAGCAAACAGGAUUAGAUACCCUGGUAGUCCAUGCCGUAAACGAUGUCUACUAGCCGUUGGGUCCUUUGAGGACUUAGUGGCGCAGCUAACGCGAUAAGUAGACCGCCUGGGGAGUACGGUCGCAAGACUAAAACUCAAAGGAAUUGACGG